Molecule: ribosomal RNA, 253 nt
Filed under: uncultured bacterium
Lineage: Bacteria
Description: partial 16S ribosomal RNA
Rfam family: Bacterial small subunit ribosomal RNA
Source: RNAcentral
UACGUAGGGUGCAAGCGUUGUCCGGAAUUAUUGGGCGUAAAGAGCUCGUAGGCGGUCUGUCACGUCGGCUGUGAAAUCCCGAGGCUCAACCUCGGGUCUGCAGUCGAUACGGGCAAACUAGAGUAUUGCAGGGGAGACUGGAAUUCCUGGUGUAGCGGUGGAAUGCGCAGAUAUCAGGAGGAACACCGGUGGCGAAGGCGGGUCUCUGGGCCGAUACUGACGCUGGAGGAGCGAAAGCGUGGGGAGCAACAGG